CCCGGUACUGUAGUGCGGUUCCCUCGUGCGUGCUGUUCGUCGGUGGUUUCUCCACCUUGAUGCUGAUCCAGGGCGAUGCAGGUGGUUCCCCUCUCUCUGUACUCCCUCUUCCUCAUUAAAUGGCGGAUCCAAGGUUUUCCCCAUAGACGAACAUGGAAAAAAGUGAGCAGGGAAAAAAGUGAGCACAGUGACAAUGGUUUUGCGGUUCAUUUUGAUUUCGUUUUUUGGCUGAAAUCUUCAGUGCACGACGAGGGACGAAUCCGGCGCUCCGUUGCUCCGUUCCCCUCUCUGCUGCUCCGUUGCUUGAUUCCCUCCUCUGCAGUUCUGUAACGCUUGUCGUGCAGCUCAGCGACGGAAGUUUUGUAGUGCGGCUGUAAUCGCGUGGGCUGUGGGUAUGUAGUCACUCACAUAGAGCUCACUAGUUUCUAGUUGCGUUUCAGUGUACCAUUGUACUUGAUGUAUGUGUAUGUGAUUCACUUCUAAAUUUUUUUGACAAAGUGCAGCUCGCUAGUGUUGUCUUCGGUGUGCUGCUGUGAUGGGCUAGUUUCCUGUUGCAUCUCCGGUGGCUUGGAGUACCAUGGCUGGCGUGUGCGGGCCGUCCUGAUGGCGUGGGCAUGCCGUUCACUUGGAGCACAAUGGCUGGCUGUGUGCAUGCAGUCCCGAGAGCGUGGGCAUGUCAUUCACUUUAUUUUGUUUUGAAGAAAAAAUGUCAGUGCAGUGUCGUUCGAUUUAUUUGUUCAGAAAAAAGAAAAGGUCUUCUACACUUCAUUUUGAUUUUUAGGUUGAUGGGUGUGUGGUUCAAAAAAAUGUAAUGUGGUGCACUUUCGACACCACUUCGAUUCACUUUUAAUGGUGUUGCGGUUCCUUAUGCCCGAUGUGAAGUCAAAAAAAAAAGUUAGGGAACGGUAAAAAACUCACAUGAGGUUCACUUUCAGGUAGUGCCGCGUUUCACUUUCGGAAGUGUUGUGGUUCACUUACGCCGUACGUGAAGCGUUGUCCACUUGCUCGCCUGAGAAAAAUUACGUCUAAAUAAAAGAAAUCAUG
This 1044-nucleotide long non-coding RNA is filed under the name Triticum aestivum (bread wheat). RNAcentral describes it as "long non-coding RNA (TAES_LNC016594)". The record is from RNAcentral. Lineage: Eukaryota; Viridiplantae; Streptophyta; Magnoliopsida; Poales; Poaceae.